GUGAAUCAUCGAAUUUUUGAACGCAAAUUGCACUCUCCGGUUUUCCGGGAGAGUAGGCCUGUUUGGGGUCCAGCCUAAAAAAAAUCGUUAUUGUUGUUGUUUUAUGGUGACUUUCGUCGGAGAUGGGUUAUCUUAAAUCCCGGUUUAAGCGACUUAAAAAUUUUUUGUACUAUUCUAAGAAUUCUUCUAAGUUCUUUC
This 198-nucleotide unclassified non-coding RNA is filed under the name Glomeraceae sp. RNAcentral's name for it is "partial contains 5.8S ribosomal RNA and internal transcribed spacer 2". The stretch from base 1 to 72 matches the Rfam family "5.8S ribosomal RNA", at positions 84 to 154 of the family's 154-position model. Lineage: Eukaryota; Fungi; Glomeromycota; Glomeromycetes; Glomerales; Glomeraceae. The record is from RNAcentral.